Molecule: long non-coding RNA, 531 nt
Filed under: Homo sapiens (human)
Lineage: Eukaryota; Metazoa; Chordata; Mammalia; Primates; Hominidae
Description: HSALNT0389527
Source: RNAcentral
CUGUGCACGUGUGUGCUGCUUCUCUGGCCAGGCCCGGCUGCCCCACUCAUGUGUGCACCCAGUUCCUCAUCACUGUCACCCCCGAGGCCCAGGGCCAGCAUCAGAGCAUCCAUGGCUGCUCCCUAACCUCAGCCCUCCCCGCCCAGGGUGGUCCUGGGAUACACAUAGGGGUGGAGGGAAGUGACUGCUGCUGUUGGAUCUCAGAAUACAAAAGGCCUAGGGGAUGCCAAAUUCCAGGGGCCAGAAAGAGCUUGGGAUAAAAAGAAACUUCAAGGGGACGGCUUUGACCUGGGCUGAGUCUGCCUGUGCCAUCCAACUGGAGUCUCAAGUCCUGAGGCAGGACGUCCAGAUGCCCCAGUGCAGGGUCCUCCUGAUCAACACCUGCUCCCCUGUACUCAUUAGCAACCUCACCCACCCUACUCUCAAAGCACACUUGGCUCUCGUAUCCAGGAGCUCUGCAUCUGUAGAUUCAGCAACAGCAGAUGGAAAAUAUUCAGAAAAUAAAUUGGACGGUUAUGUUUCUAUUGAACA